RNAcentral lists this long non-coding RNA (164 nucleotides) under Capra hircus (goat). Its description in RNAcentral is "lncRNA (ENSCHIG00010023368.1)". Lineage: Eukaryota; Metazoa; Chordata; Mammalia; Artiodactyla; Bovidae. The record is from RNAcentral.
GUCGAGCCAAGGAAAUUCAUUUACGGCUUGGGCUUAUGUUCAAAGUGAACACAGACUAUGAGUCUAGUUUAAAGGUUUGGGAACAUAGUUGAAGGGUUCUACAACUGAAAAGAUGCAUUUUCAGUUAGCUUUGGUUGACUGUAAUCCCUGCACUUUGUCCAAUG